GUUUGUUUUGCCCGCCUCACAAUUAUGCCAAUCACCAAGACUACGAGUUUGCAAAGAGAAAGGAUGUAAUCACAAGGCCACCAAGAAAGGAAGCAGGAGAACCAGUCUCAAAUCUGCCUCUCCAAAAGUGGAGACUCAGGGAAUUUAUGGGGUAGGGAGCAAGGUGGUCUGAAAUGUAAGGUUGAUGACUGGAGGUGAGAAGUGAGGUCCUUGAUGAUCUGUGCAAGCAUAGUCAAGCUUCAUGGCUCUUCAUAGGAUGCAUGUUCACAAAAUGGCGGUGUUAGCAGGCCCAGUCGAUGAUUUGUUGGCCUCAGCCAGCCUGAACUGGACCAGGAGCUGACUCUCGCUUCCUGAAAAACUUGAGCAGCCCGCCUGUGAACUUGGUGACCCAAGCCCCAGAGACGUUAUCUACAGGAUCGGCUUUAGGAAAGUGAUAUCUAACUAACUACUUUUGCAAACAGACAACUGAGUACAGUGACAGAAUGACAGCCUCAUCUCGCUGAAGAAAAAUAGGAAUAUCUUUGGGCACAUAACUGAAGAGUCCAGAAGAGUGCAGACUUCAAGCAGAGAUGCGAGAUCUUGUGUCAACUGUUCAUCGAAACCUCCUCCUCUCUGUCCUGCUCUCUUUCUGCCUCACUGUCUCUAACUCUUUUUUCACUCUUUCUCCACUCCCCCUCCCCUCCGAUCUCCUCUCUUUCUCUCCAUGUCUCAAAUCUGCUUUUCCUGGUGUUGGUUUUAUUCUCUGGAAAUUUCGUUCCCCUCGUAAAAUAGAUGGUAUCUUACAGUGCUCCAGGAAUAUAUUCUGGUUUAUAGCCUAUAAUUUCAGAGAGAAAGGCUAUGGUACAAGUACUGGGAAUGACCCUGACUGGCCAAGGUUUGGUGACUUUCCCAUCCCUGAAGAGGGAGAUUGGUUCUCUGUGCUCCAUGUGAGCGAGAGGCUCUCUUACCAGAAGAAGAGAAAGAAAAACGUUUUAUGCAGAUGAAUCUCAGCUUCUACAGUCUAAUUUCUGGGAGCUAUUUGGAGUGGGGAUUAAUCAACACUUGGCUUCAUCUUUUUACAGCAGGGAUCAAAGUUUCUAUUUCACCUUGAUGUUACAUGCUUUCAACAAUUCUACAGCAGAGAUGGAAGAGGAGAACAGGGAGAAAGAGGGGGAAAGCAAUGCUGAAAUUUUAUUGUUCUCUCUGCUAAGAAUACAACAGCUGAAUCACUGCCCUUCAAAUUAUGAAAAAUAUUUUCUUUUUCUAGGAAGAUUAGCCCAGAGCUAACAUCUGCUGCCAAUCCUCUUCUUUUUGCUGAGGAAGACUGGUCCUGAGCUAACAUCUGUGCCCAUCUUCCUUUACUUUAUAUGUGGGAUGCUGCCACAGUCCAUACCUGGGAUCAGAACUGGCGAACCCUGGGCCGCUGAAGCAGAAUGUGCAAAUUUAUCUGCUGCGCCACUGGGCCGGCCUGAAAAAAUAUUUUCAAAACUAGAAACAUGCACUGUUUUGAUGAAAUUGGAGUUCCAAAUUCCGAUUUGACUACUGUGUUAUUAGAGUUAAAAGGUAGUUACAUCUUGUCAAGAAUUAAGUGCUGGAAUAAGAUUUUUUAAAACAAAAUGGAGAGUUCUAAGUUUGGGUCUGCCGCCAACUCUUUACGAGAUCUUUGUUGCUUAAUCUGUUAUCAAAUAAAAAAUGUAUGAG
RNAcentral lists this long non-coding RNA (1680 nucleotides) under Equus caballus (horse). RNAcentral's name for it is "lncRNA (ENSECAG00000053226.1)". The record is from RNAcentral. Lineage: Eukaryota; Metazoa; Chordata; Mammalia; Perissodactyla; Equidae.